UAGGGAAUCUUCCACAAUGGACGAAAGUCUGAUGGAGCAACGCCGCGUGAGUGAAGAAGGUUUUCGGAUCGUAAAGCUCUGUUGUUGGUGAAGAAGGACAGAGGCAGUAACUGGUCUUUAUUUGACGGUAAUCAACCAGAAAGCCACGGCUAACUACGUGCCG
This 163-nucleotide ribosomal RNA is filed under the name uncultured bacterium. Its description in RNAcentral is "partial 16S rRNA". It matches the Rfam family "Bacterial small subunit ribosomal RNA", at positions 355 to 510 of the family's 1533-position model. The record is from RNAcentral.